GAGGGUAUAGCUCAGUGGGUAGAGCACACACUCAGCAUGCAUGAGGUCCUGGGUUCAAUCCCCAGCACCUCCU
Transfer RNA from Camelus ferus (Wild Bactrian camel), 73 nucleotides. It matches the Rfam family "tRNA". From Rfam's summary of the family: Transfer RNA (tRNA) molecules are approximately 80 nucleotides in length. Their secondary structure includes four short double-helical elements and three loops (D, anti-codon, and T loops). Further hydrogen bonds mediate the characteristic L-shaped molecular structure. tRNAs have two regions of fundamental functional importance: the anti-codon, which is responsible for specific mRNA codon recognition, and the 3' end, to which the tRNAs corresponding amino acid is attached (by aminoacyl-tRNA synthetases). tRNAs cope with the degeneracy of the genetic code in two manners: having more than one tRNA (with a specific anti-codon) for a particular amino acid; and 'wobble' base-pairing, i.e. permitting non-standard base-pairing at the 3rd anti-codon position. NCBI's taxonomy places the organism in Eukaryota, Metazoa, Chordata, Mammalia, Artiodactyla, Camelidae. The record is from Rfam.